UGUAAGCGUAUACCAAAGUUGUUGCAGUUAAAACGCUCGUAGUCGGACUUUGGCAGUUCCGGAUGUGUGCACGUCGUGUGCGCACUUCGCGGGGAUUGCUUUUGUGGUCUUGCGUAGGAUGAGGCACUUUUAUUAGUGAACGUCCUCACGCAACCACUUUUUACUGUGAGAAAAUCAGAGUGCUCAAAGCAGGCAUUUGCCGUGAAUGUAUUAGCAUGGAAUAAUAGAUUAGGACUUGGUUCUAUUUUGUUGGUUUGUUGGGACUGAGUAAUGAUUAAGAGGGACAGUUGGGGGCAUUUGUAUUUCGGUGCUAGAGGUGAAAUUCUUAGAUUACCGAAAGACAAACUGCUGCGAAAGCGUCUGCCAAGGAUGUUUUCAUUGA
Molecule: ribosomal RNA, 382 nt
Filed under: uncultured eukaryote
Lineage: Eukaryota
Description: partial 18S ribosomal RNA
Rfam family: Eukaryotic small subunit ribosomal RNA
Source: RNAcentral